GAACGAACGCUGGCGGCGUGCUUAACACAUGCAAGUCGAACGCGAAAGGGACUUCGGUCCUGAGUAAAGUGGCGCACGGGUGAGUAACGCGUAGAUAACCUGUCUUCAUGUCUGGAAUAAUACGCCAAAGGGGUACUAAUACCGGAUAUCUUGCUUUUCAUAAGUUAUGCAAGCAAAGGUGGCCUCUGCAUAUGCUACUGCAUGAAGAGGGGUCUGCGUACCAUUAGCUAGUAGGUGGGGUAAUGGCCUACCUAGGCGACGAUGGUUAGCGGGUCUGAGAGGAUGAUCCGCCACACUGGCACUGGAACACGGGCCAGACUCCUACGGGAGGCAGCAGUGAGGAAUAUUGCGCAAUGGGGGAAACCCUGACGCAGCGACGCCGCGUGAGUGAGGAAGGCCUUCGGGUCGUAAAGCUCUGUCAAGAGGAAAGAAGUGUACAAUGGCUAAUACCUGUUGUAUUUGACGGUACCUCUAAAGGAAGCACCGGCUAACUCCGUGCCAGCCGCAGC
RNAcentral lists this ribosomal RNA (509 nucleotides) under uncultured bacterium. RNAcentral's name for it is "bacterial SSU rRNA". It matches the Rfam family "Bacterial small subunit ribosomal RNA", at positions 27 to 518 of the family's 1533-position model. The record is from RNAcentral.